RNAcentral lists this small RNA (27 nucleotides) under Bombyx mori (domestic silkworm). Its description in RNAcentral is "ovarian small RNA-27162". Lineage: Eukaryota; Metazoa; Arthropoda; Insecta; Lepidoptera; Bombycidae. The record is from RNAcentral.
UCCCAGCCAGUACACAUGCCGCCUCGA